This 1010-nucleotide long non-coding RNA is filed under the name Homo sapiens (human). RNAcentral describes it as "small nucleolar RNA host gene 17, transcript variant 13 (SNHG17)". Lineage: Eukaryota; Metazoa; Chordata; Mammalia; Primates; Hominidae. The record is from RNAcentral.
AGUCCUUCGCCGUCCCUCGCCGUCCUUCGCCAUCGCACGCCACCGCACCCCAUCUCUCGAAAUCUGCAGACAUCUUGAUUUUUCCCACGCUGUCUGUCAGGUCUCCGCCGCCACUCGACGCCAGGGCGCCGGGCCUUGUGGGCUGUGCUGCACCUCGGACGGCUUCGCACCAGCCAGCGCCCUCUCUCUCCUGCAGCACUCUGAUCUGCACCCCCUGAGGGGCUUCCACUGUCCGCGGGGUGAGAAUGCCCCUGGGAGUGUCACAUGACUGCCGCCCCAUGUGUGUGAGAGGCGUCCUCUGGGAGAGCAUGGAUCCUGAGGUCCCAGGAUUGUCAGCUGACCUCUGUCCUGUGUGCCCAGUGGCCCCAGGUGACGUGUCUUCAAGAAGAGGCUGAGCUGCGGUGCUUGUAAGGGUCUCAUUCUGUCACCCAGGCUGGAGUGCAGUGGUGCAAUGAUGGCUCACUGCAGCCUCGACCUGGGCUCAAGUGAUCCUCCACCUCAGCUUCCUGAGUAGCUGGGACCACAGAUGGGUCUGCUGUGUGCAGAGGCUCCAUGGGAUGUGUUGUCUUCAUAGUAGCAGGGCGCUGGACCAUGGGUCCGCAAGGUCUCAGCCUUAGAUCCAAGGACAGUCCAAGGAAGUCCUAAGACCAUGGAGUUGGUGAUCUGGGAUCUGGGUUUGCUGAUAUUUCUCACCGUGAAUCUCUUGGUGGUGUUUGUGGGCACGAGAGGGGCAGAGAAUGGAGAGUGAGGCUACCACAUGAAGCGUCACCAGAGCUGCUCCCUGCUGCCUGCUCAGAGCACCCCGGAUCCACUGUUCAAUCUGCACAAGAUUCGGGGUCCAGACAUGGGAGACUUCAGCUGCCUCAGAGGACCGUGGACAGGGAAGGCCAGCCUCGCAUCCCUCUGUCCAUGCCUGGAAUGACUUUAAUAACCAAGAGUUUUAUUUUUGAAUUUGUAGCUGUCGUUCACUUUUUACCCACCCAUUCAAUAAACCUUACAGAAUUGCUCCA